CUGAUGGCUCUAUUUUAACAUGCAAGUCUCACUAUGACGUGUGGCGCUUGCACCGCCUGAUUAGUGGCGUACGGGUGAGUAACACGUGAGUAACCUGCCCUCCACUUCGGGAUAACCUCGGGAAAUCGUGGCUAAUACCGGAUAUGAGCACUCAUCGCAUGGUGGGUGCUGGAAAGAUUUAUCGGUGGGGGAUGGACUCGCGGCCUAUCAGUUUGUUGGUGAGGUGAUGGCUCACCAAGACGAUGACGGGUAGCCGGCCUGAGAGGGCGACCGGCCACACUGGGACUGAGACACGGCCCAGACUCCUACGGGAGGCAGCAGUGGGGAAUAUUGCACAAUGGGCGAAAGCCUGAUGCAGCGACGCCGCGUGGGGGAUGACGGCCUUCGGGUUGUAAACCCCUUUCAGUAGGGAAGAAGCGAGAGUGACGGUACCUGCAGAAGAAGCGCCGGCUAACUACGUGCCAGCAGCCGCGGUAAUACGUAGGGCGCAAGCGUUGUCCGGAAUUAUUGGGCGUAAAGAGCUUGUAGGUGGCUUGUCGCGUCUGCCGUGAAAACCCGAGGCUCAACCUCGGGCGUGCGGUGGGUACGGGCAGGCUAGAGUGUGGUAGGGGAGACUGGAACUCCUGGUGUAGCGGUGAAAUGCGCAGAUAUCAGGAAGAACACCGAUGGCGAAGGCAGGUCUCUGGGCCAUUACUGACACUGAGAAGCGAAAGCAUGGGUAGCGAACAGGAUUAGAUACCCUGGUAGUCCAUGCCGUAAACGUUGGGCACUAGGUGUGGGGGACAUUCCACGUUUUCCGCGCCG
Molecule: ribosomal RNA, 804 nt
Filed under: Brachybacterium sp. MSA21
Lineage: Bacteria; Bacillati; Actinomycetota; Actinomycetes; Micrococcales; Dermabacteraceae
Description: bacterial SSU rRNA
Rfam family: Bacterial small subunit ribosomal RNA
Source: RNAcentral